UAAGAAAAAGGAAAAAAAGAAAUAACAAACCUACCUUCUCUCGGAGGAGAGAGAAGGUCCUAGAACCUAUUAUAUACAUAUUUUUUGUAUUUUAAUGAUGUGGCAAUGUCGAGCAUGAUUUUUAUAUUGAUAAGAGUGCGUGCAAUGGCUCGGAUUUAGACUUGGUUGAUGGCCUUUUUCGAUGUGGGCCUGUCAGAAAGUCUAUUUUUAUCAACCGCAAUGGCCGUGUUUUUGACAUUGAAUUCUCGAUCUCGCAUCGACGGAGACAUGGUGCAGGUGAAGCCACAUCAAGGAGGAUGAGGAGUGGAUUUUCAUUCUUUUCUCUUGCUCUUCCCUUUUCUUCUUAUCCAAUUUAUAUAGUGUCCCUUUCUUCCUUAUUUUCUUCCUCUCCUCAUCUUCCCGUAGAUGUAGAAGUCACCCUUGUUCGCAUUGUCUAGGAAAUAGCCUAGACUGACGGUCGGUCGUGUUUCAUCAUCAGAUCCCCACCAUCGAAGAGUUACUGCAGAAGAGGGCUGAAUACAGUGAACACGGACCGCUUCUUGCAGUGUGUUCAAUAAUGUCCCACGAAGAAGAUGAUUCUACAGUUGAUGGCGAUAGAGUCAAAGGCCUCGGAGAGCUGUAUGAGAAAUGGAACAAAGUUUAGUCCGAACCUCACAACUAUCCCAGCAUGCCAAAGGCGCUCUAAUCAUGGCAACACAACAACAAACAACAUUCCCAGCCCAUUAUACUAUGAGUUUUGGUCGACCUUUUUCCCAGGUGCAGUACAUGCCACAACAGAGUGAACCUUUGUUCUACUUAAACAUGUGGAAUUUCUCGGGUCCGGGAGGCACAUCGUUGCUUCCUCACCCCGAGACCUAGUUCUCGCAGCCGAGGACUGCUCCUUUCACUACAAGCCGACGACUUUUCUUAACAGAAACACCUAGUCAUUGCAACCGUGCAAGUAGAGCAACGGGGAGUAAUCAACGCAUAAACAAGAGUUGGACCACGGAGAAGGACGUGGAACUGACUAGGGCAUAGUGUAAUAUUACAACGGAUACCCGGGUAGGUGUAGGCUAGAAGAGACAGAAACUAUAGGAGCGUGUUUGUGAGAGUUUUUCCUUGUUGAUGGAAGAGAAUCACGGCAUGCCAAAACUGAAAAUAAAAUAUCCCCGGGUGCUUGUGAGAAUCGAAUGACGGAGAUCAAAUCACAAUGCUCAAAAUGGUGUGCAGUACGAGUGCAAGCAGAAGGGCAGUAUCGGUGUGGUUGGAGUUCCGCCGAUUUUGAAAAAUAUUACGAGGAGAAUUAUUACGACAAGCAUGGGAUGACUUUCAAAUGUUUGGCUUGUUGGCGCAUUUUGAAGGAUGAGCCGAAGUGGAUGGAGUUUGUAUCCGAGAGGAAGACGUGGCCGAGUGACCCACGAACUAUAGACAAGGACGAAAGAGGUUGUGAGCGAUGCUUCAUGCGAAGGGAAUCUUAUGAGCAGUCACCCGUAACACCAGUUGACAUUGCUGAUAAUGGUGUACACGUUGACGUUGAGGGCUCGGAUAAGAGGCCUAGACAUACUCUGUUGAUUGGUCCAGCUGCGCGUGUCAUUGAACGAUCACUGGGGGCUAAAAAAUGAAGGCUAACGACAAAGUUAAUAACCAACAUCAACGAAAAAUCAAACAUCAUGGAGAGUUGUUGGCGUCAGCAACGCAUAGUAUCACUACUAGUCUCAUGGCACUCGAUUCGUCGCAAGCGGAAAUGUGAUCUAAGAUAGAGAAAAAUGAAACAAGGCGCGAAAAGAUGAUAGAAGAACAAUCGAGUAAACAGGUAAUUAGGCACUUCCGUUUCAUGAAAUACACAAUAAUUCAUCUAAAAUACAUUGCAGGAACUCAAUAACAUUUGAUUCAUUAACGUACGGACUAAUGAAGUUCAACAUUUGACAAGAUAGCCCGAGAAAUUGUGCAAGUAACUAAGGAUUUUGCAAAAAUUGGUGGGAAAUGAUUGUUGCCUUAUUUAAGUUUGAGGAAUUGGAUCCGGCGAAGCUGGCAACCGAAUCGUCAAGGAAAGAGUACAUGAUCAGGCGAGAACAACUUGAGUACUACACGGAUGAACACAAUGGUGUUAAGGCGGCCAUCGCGACCAUCAAGAGACAAGAAGGCCAACAAAAGACGUAGGUGAGUCGAGUGUCUCCCCGAGUGGAGAUAAAAAGUGUGGCAGACGUGAAACCCUUGAUAAAAGUAGCUUCUAGUCAACGUGCCAUUGAUUGGGUCGACUGGUCUUGUAAUAAGUUUUGACAUGGAACUGUCUCUUGGGCCAACGGGCAUGGUGACGUAUUAUUGUGUUUUUUUCCUAGUGUAUUUUUCUGAUAUUUGUGUUGGGUUUCUUGUCUUCGUUGGUAAUUAGUUGGGUCUUAUAUGUUAAACGUGAUGCUCCUCUUGUUGUUUCCUUGAGCGUUUGUUUAAUCGUUCACUAUGGCAUGCGCAAAGGACCCUAGCGUAUUUGAUUGUAUCAUAGUUCCGUGAGAAGUUUGGCAUGUUGCGAUUGAAUAUCCAGGCAGUUGAAUGUAGUUUUCAUGUUGUU
Long non-coding RNA from Andrographis paniculata, 2545 nucleotides. RefSeq lists it as uncharacterized. The record is from RefSeq and is a predicted model, not a curated record. The transcript has 4 exons. Lineage: Eukaryota; Viridiplantae; Streptophyta; Magnoliopsida; Lamiales; Acanthaceae.